GUCACCAAGGCUGAUACAAUCUCAACCAUGGUCCAACCCAGGAGAUGGAGAAGAGGCAACGAAGACUCCUCCGAGAGGCCCAGUGUUACCACUUUCCCCCAAAGAGGAAAGGCCAUGUGAGGAGGACCCAACAAACAGCAGGCCAUGUGCGAGCCAGGAACAGAGGCCUCACCAGAAACCAACGCUGACAGUACCUGAUCUUGGACUUCCAGAACUGUGAACUAAAACGGUCGGUAUGCCCAACCAUUGUGACAGCUACAGAAUACGAAGACAAAAAGUAGGAGCCAACAGCUACUUCUUCAGGUGGUUUUGCUUGUUUUGAGGGGUCCGAGUAAAUCGGAAGGGGUAUUUAGCCCUUCCUUUCCCUAGGCCCAUCCUCUCUAGCUCCCUUCCAAUCCCUACUGUAGAAAUCAGCCUUGAUCUUUUCAUACAAUAUGCAGCUAUCUGCUCUUUCUUACAUAAACAUUUGCAAUUCACCAAGGAGAAUGUGUGAUGCAUCUUGCAUGCUUAUCAAGCGCCACAAGAACUUUACAGAUUACUGCCUGCCUCAGGAUUCCAGUUCCCUGGUGCUUAUGCAUAAGCAAUGGAUUUAUGCAAACAUUGUAACAUUUCCAAACAGACUGUGACAUGAGUUGUUCCUAGUUCAUAUAAGGUUCAGAUAUGCAGCCUAUUUUCUGAUCCUACUAGAUCAUUCAUCUCAUCGAGUUUAAAAUGUAUCAUCUCAGCUUAUAAUGUUGUCAAUAUAAAAUGUCAUAAUGUGGUACUCAAUUUGAACAGCAAGAUGGAUAUUAAUCUCAGAGGUUUUCAUGCACGGCUGGGGUGGGACUGUAUAACGUGCAACAGCAAUGGUCUGUUUGUUUGCAUCACACACCAUAUGCAUAGGUGGUAAACAUUUUGUUACAUUAUAGACUGACUACUAAUUCUCCUUGAUCUAGAGUGUUUAUAUAGCCCCAGUGGUAUAAUAUGCAUUAUAACUUA
Molecule: long non-coding RNA, 978 nt
Organism: Mirounga angustirostris (Northern elephant seal)
Lineage: Eukaryota; Metazoa; Chordata; Mammalia; Carnivora; Phocidae
Exons: 3
Source: RefSeq, a predicted model, not a curated record